UUACUGUAGUGCUGCACAAGUAAUUUCUCACUCUCUAGAUAAGAAAUAGAUUCCCUUAUCUUUACAGCUCAUAUUUCCAUAUAUUCCACGAGAAUUUGUUCUCUGCCUAGCUAUAGGCACCUCCUAAUUAUAGACUAAUAGUAUAAGGAGAAUUGAAGUCUCAAAUUCUCUGUCCAUCAUUAUUUAAAGAACAUAAAUUUCUUUUCAUUUUCAUCCUUGAAGUUCAAUGACCAGUUAGAAACAGAUUGAAGUUCAAUUUGAAGAACCAAACCAACAGAAAUGGUGUGUUCCACUAAAAGAAGAUGUUUUUGUAACUUUCAUGAACAAGGCGAAUUUGACAACUCACAAGGCCUUGUGUAAAGGUCCAAUCAGUGCACAUUUGACUGGUCUCAAACAGAGACAGAUUAUCUAUUGAGAGCAGAAAUACGAGAUACGAGGUUUUCGGAGACCAAUUUACGAUGCAAGGGCAUUGCGGAGUAAGAAAUUACAUGGUUUGAGGUACUUUCGGACACGGAGACUAUUAGAUUUCAGAGUACUAUCAAUUAGAGACUAUGAAGAUUCGAGGCAUUUGGAGGCCAAUUCACAAGGCAAAGGAAUAGCGGAGUAAAUAAUUACAUGGUUUAAGAUCCAGGUGCAUUCGGAUACGGAGAUAGUUAGAUUUCAG
Molecule: non-coding RNA, 664 nt
Organism: Nicotiana tabacum (common tobacco)
Lineage: Eukaryota; Viridiplantae; Streptophyta; Magnoliopsida; Solanales; Solanaceae
Source: RefSeq, a predicted model, not a curated record